GCAGUCGAACGGUAGAGGGGGCAACCCCUCGAGAGUGGCGAACGGCUUAGUAAUAUAUCGGAACGUGCCCAGUCGUGGGGGAUAACGUAGCGAAAGUUACGCUAAUACCGCAUACGAUCUACGGAUGAAAGCGGGGGACCGUAAGGCCUCGCGCGAUUGGAGCGGCCGAUAUCAGAUUAGGUAGUUGGUGGGGUAAAGGCUCACCAAGCCAACGAUCUGUAGCUGGUCUGAGAGGACGACCAGCCACACUGGAACUGAGACACGGUCCAGACUCCUACGGGAGGCAGCAGUGGGGAAUUUUGGACAAUGGACGCAAGUCUGAUCCAGCCAUUCCGCGUGCAGGAUGAAGGCCCUCGGGUUGUAAACUGCUUUUGUACGGAACGAAAAGGUUUCCAUUAAUACUGGGAGCUCAUGACGGUACCGUAAGAAUAAGCACCGGCUAACUACGUGCCAGCAGCCGCGGUAAUACGUAGGGUGCAAGCGUUAAUCGGAAUUACUGGGCGUAAAGCGUGCGCAGGCGGUUAUGUAAGACAGAGGUGAAAUCCCCGGGCUCAACCUGGGAACGGCCUUUGUGACUGCAUAGCUAGAGUACGGUAGAGGGGGAUGGAAUUCCGCGUGUAGCAGUGAAAUGCGUAGAUAUGCGGAGGAACACCGAUGGCGAAGGCAAUCCCCUGGACCUGUACUGACGCUCAUGCAUGAAAGCGUGGGGAGCAAACAGGAUUAGAUACCCUGGUAGUCCACGCCCUAAACGAUGUCAACUGGU
This 763-nucleotide ribosomal RNA is filed under the name uncultured Burkholderiales bacterium. Its description in RNAcentral is "bacterial SSU rRNA". It matches the Rfam family "Bacterial small subunit ribosomal RNA", at positions 57 to 820 of the family's 1533-position model. The record is from RNAcentral. Lineage: Bacteria; Pseudomonadati; Pseudomonadota; Betaproteobacteria; Burkholderiales.